Molecule: unclassified non-coding RNA, 1134 nt
Filed under: Leishmania donovani
Lineage: Eukaryota; Euglenozoa; Kinetoplastea; Trypanosomatida; Trypanosomatidae
Description: gene:LdHU3.36.8910(CDS-product:hypothetical_prote in_conserved)
Source: RNAcentral
UCGCUAUCUCGCGCCUCCGCAACUACACACAAAAACUUCCCUGCCAUGCUGUCGUGCCCGUAUCAGGCACGCGCAUGAUCCGCAAGAAGCCUCGUUCUCCGUGCCACUACUUCCACCACAGCACACCCCCACGGACAUCGCAGCACCCUUUACAUGGAUGUACACAAUGCUAGAGUUUCUUUUGCGGGGCUACCUCAUGUACCUCUCCUUUGUGCAGCCGGUCAUCUACGGCGCGCAGCUCUGCCGCUCGCCAGACCCCGAUGCACUGCAGGUGACAAACGUGACGCUGACGCUCAUCUUUGCAUGGCUUCUGGAGGUAGCUGAUGUGCUGUUUCUCUCCCCCUUUAUCGCGAUACGCUGGCUUUACCUAUGCGCCCGCAUCGCUCUAGCCCUGUACUUUUCGCAUCAUCGCUUUCUCGGUGCGGUGCAGGUCUACGAAAGGCUCUUUUCGAGCCUCGUCGAUACAUACUUCCCCGUGAUCGACUCCGUCGUCGCACGUCACGUGCAGACCAUUUGUAACUCCGGGCUCACUCAGUAUGGCGCACAGGUGUGCAUCGGACUGCUGCGAGGCAUCGCCGCGGCCGCGGGGAUUGCCAAGACGUUGAUGGAGGUCUCCUCGACCACCACGGUACGGGUGGCCCCGCUGCCCCGCCGCAUGUCGCAGGAGCGCGGCGGGGGAGAGGUGGAGGACGCCCGCAUCUCUCCCCCGCCGCGACCACCGCCGGCCACCCGCUCCGUCCCACUAGAGCUGCCGUCGCUCUUCUACGACAAUAGUGACGAGAGGUGAUGGCCGGCGCAGCGGGUCGUCGACCAAACGCUUGAGGCGGAGCCUGCUGUGACAUGGAGUACAUAGAACCAAGGAUGGCAGCGCUGCGCGCUGCUUUCGCACCUCACCGGCCCUGAAACGGCAGUGAACCGUGCCCGCCGGCACUCGAACCCCCCUCUGACUCCAUCGCCAUGUAGUCCUUCUUUCUCACUCCAAGCUGACUCCUUUUUUUUUGCUCUUGCUUUCCUGCACCAUCACCCCUUACACGUGAGUGACUGCUUACCUGCCUUUGCCCUCUUCUCCCUUCAUUCCUGUCUCGCCCGCCCUUUCUUUCCUUUCAAUAACUUGCACCCUCGGUGACCAUAGAG